UGCAGUCGAACGGUAGCACAGAGAGCUUGCUCUCGGGUGACGAGUGGCGGACGGGUGAGUAAUGUCUGGGAAACUGCCUGAUGGAGGGGGAUAACUACUGGAAACGGUAGCUAAUACCGCAUAACGUCUUCGGACCAAAGUGGGGGACCUUCGGGCCUCACACCAUCGGAUGUGCCCAGAUGGGAUUAGCUAGUAGGUGGGGUAAUGGCUCACCUAGGCGACGAUCCCUAGCUGGUCUGAGAGGAUGACCAGCCACACUGGAACUGAGACACGGUCCAGACUCCUACGGGAGGCAGCAGUGGGGAAUAUUGCACAAUGGGCGCAAGCCUGAUGCAGCCAUGCCGCGUGUAUGAAGAAGGCCUUCGGGUUGUAAAGUACUUUCAGCGGGGAGGAAGGCGAUAAGGUUAAUAACCUUGUCGAUUGACGUUACCCGCAGAAGAAGCACCGGCUAACUCCGUGCCAGCAGCCGCGGUAAUACGGAGGGUGCAAGCGUUAAUCGGAAUUACUGGGCGUAAAGCGCACGCAGGCGGUCUGUCAAGUCAGAUGUGAAAUCCCCGGGCUUAACCUGGGAACUGCAUUUGAAACUGGCAGGCUAGAGUCUUGUAGAGGGGGGUAGAAUUCCAGGUGUAGCGGUGAAAUGCGUAGAGAUCUGGAGGAAUACCGGUGGCGAAGGCGGCCC
RNAcentral lists this ribosomal RNA (679 nucleotides) under Erwinia sp. A45-1b-2. RNAcentral describes it as "bacterial SSU rRNA". It matches the Rfam family "Bacterial small subunit ribosomal RNA", at positions 56 to 727 of the family's 1533-position model. The record is from RNAcentral. Lineage: Bacteria; Pseudomonadati; Pseudomonadota; Gammaproteobacteria; Enterobacterales; Erwiniaceae.